UAAUACGGAGGGUGCAAGCGUUAAUCGGAAUUACUGGGCGUAAAGCGCACGCAGGCGGUUUGUUAAGUCAGAUGUGAAAUCCCCGGGCUCAACCUGGGAACUGCAUCUGAUACUGGCAAGCUUGAGUCUCGUAGAGGGGGGUAGAAUUCCAGGUGUAGCGGUGAAAUGCGUAGAGAUCUGGAGGAAUACCGGUGGCGAAGGCGGCCCCCUGGACGAAGACUGACGCUCAGGUGCGAAAGCGUGGGGAGCAAACAGGAUUAGAUACCCUGGUAGUCCACGCCGUAAACGAUGUCGACUUGGAGGUUGUGCCCUUGAGGCGUGGCUUCCGGAGCUAACGCGUUAAGUCGACCGCCUGGGGAGUACGGCCGCAAGGUUAAAACUCAAAUGAAUUGACGG
Molecule: ribosomal RNA, 396 nt
Filed under: bacterium enrichment culture
Lineage: Bacteria
Description: bacterial SSU rRNA
Rfam family: Bacterial small subunit ribosomal RNA
Source: RNAcentral